RNA transcript from Lotus japonicus, 721 nucleotides. RefSeq lists it as uncharacterized. Lineage: Eukaryota; Viridiplantae; Streptophyta; Magnoliopsida; Fabales; Fabaceae. The record is from RefSeq and is a predicted model, not a curated record. The transcript has 4 exons.
GUUACAAUUCGUGAUGGGUUGGCUCUUCAUGGCAUCGAGGCGGACAUGCCAUUGGCUGAAUCGGAAGAUGAUGAUGAUGUUCACAUACUAACUCAAGAGGAGGAGUUUUUAACUCUUUAUCCUAGGAAGGAUCUGAAAGAGCUCAAUGAGACUGAGGAGGAUGGUGUGUUUACGGUUGUAGCACGAGUUACUAGCCUUGCUGAAGGGGAGAAGUGGUGGUACUUUGCAUGCAGUUGCCACAACAACUGAGGAUGGAACAUUUUACUGUUCUGGAUGCCGCAAACCUGUAUUGUCCGGAACUCCUAGGCUCAAACUAAAGGAAGAAGUUGAGGAUGCCUUUGAUUGUGGUACAUUUGUCAUAUUUGACACUGAUUGCCAACUACUUCUUAACAAAUCAUGCAAAGAGUUGGUCAUGAUCUCAAAGGUUUAAUGUGAUAUAUGAAGCAUUUUUUAUUGGAAGAGCUGGACAUUACUUGCUAUAACUUGUGCUAAUAAGUUCUGACUAUAUAUUGUUUUUAAGCGAAGUCUCCAUAUGAAUACCCGGCUGAGAUUGAGACUAUCAUUGGUAGAGAACUCUUAUUCAAAUAUGAGAAGUCAAUUGGCCAUGGGACCAAGUUUGAUGAUUCGUACAAGGUUAAGAAAAUAUGUUCCUAAUUCGCUGUGAUUGAGAGUUUCAAGGACAAGUCAAAGGUUCAAACACUAAGCAAGGUAUUCAUUUCAC